Molecule: long non-coding RNA, 1227 nt
Organism: Bubalus bubalis (water buffalo)
Lineage: Eukaryota; Metazoa; Chordata; Mammalia; Artiodactyla; Bovidae
Exons: 3
Source: RefSeq, a predicted model, not a curated record
CAUUGCCUGUCUCCCAGUAGAUGCCCAAUAAACAUUUGCCAAAUGAAUGAUGUUACUCACUAGGUACCUUCUCUCCAAGACUAAGAGUUACCUGUUAAUUCAACAUUGAUCUGAGUACCUCCUGUAGGACAACUCCUAUCACCUCCUUGUUAGCUCGUUUGCCCCUGGAAAAACAUCCCCAUGCAAAUAAACCCAUAAGAGGAGCCCUGAGCCCGCCAACACAAACAUUUUAUCACCAUAUUUAGAGGAGAAGGGAGUGGAUGAAGGUGUGAGGAGCUGAGCAAAGGAUCCAUUUACAAUUUUGGAGGGGCCCUUUGAGACUGGAACUGAUGUUACAGACCUAAGAUGAAGAGGUCCACUUAAUAGAUUGAAAUCACAAGAGCUACCCAUUUACCACUAGACUUCUGGCUCACAGAAUUACUGAAAGAAGAGCAUGAUGCUAUCGGAAGACAGAAUUCUGACUCCAAGCUAGUGCUGUGUACCCCUGCGAUGCAGUUGUAACUGCUUGGUCACCAAAUCAUGAACGGGGAAGUGCUGGUGGUUGGAUAUGAACCACGACAUCGUGGGCAUCUGGCUGAUUACACAUGAACUGUGAUCGCUUUCUCUCCAUGUUCUGUUUUGUGGAGUAGCAACUAUUUCAAAAUUGAGUCACAAGUGUGCACACAUACAUAUUAUGUCCUCAGUUUUUCAAACAUUGUGCUUUUCUGGAAGGAAGAAAUCUAAACACUGAGCAUUUGUAUACUCACACCAGCCAUGGAUGAGAGUUCCAGUUGUUCCAUAUCUUUGCCAACUUCUGGGGUUGUCAACCUUUUACUUUAAUCAUUCAAGUGGGUAUCAAGUGCAUCUAAUUAAGAUCUUUAAUUUACAUUCCCUAAGAAUUUAAUGACAUUGAGUUCUUUAAUGACACUUGUUGGUUAUUUGUGUAUCUACUUCUGUGAAGCAUCUGUUCAAAUAUUUUGUGACUUUUAAGCUAUUUCCUUGCUCAUUUGUAAAAUUGUUGACUUAUGGUUCUUUUGUAUAUUCUGGACACAAGUCCAUUGUCCCAUAGUGAUGUUGUAAACAUAUUUCCCAACCUGUGCCUUGCUUAUUCAUUGUCUUACUAAUGUAUUUUGAUGAGCAGAAAUUUUAUUUCUUAUAAAGUAUAAUUUUUCAAAAUUUACUUUUUAGGGUUAUGUUUUUGGUGCCCUGUUCAAUAAAACCUUUAUCCACCCACAGUCAUGAGAAUUU